AUUGAACGCUGGCGGCAGGCCUAACACAUGCAAGUCGAGCGGAUGAAGGGAGCUUGCUCCUGGAUUCAGCGGCGGACGGGUGAGUAAUGCCUAGGAAUCUGCCUGGUAGUGGGGGAUAACGUCCGGAAACGGGCGCUAAUACCGCAUACGUCCUGAGGGAGAAAGUGGGGGAUCUUCGGACCUCACGCUAUCAGAUGAGCCUAGGUCGGAUUAGCUAGUUGGUGGGGUAAAGGCCUACCAAGGCGACGAUCCGUAACUGGUCUGAGAGGAUGAUCAGUCACACUAGAACUGGAACACGGACCAGACUCCUACGGGAGGCAGCAGUGGGGAAUAUUGGACAAUGGGCGGAAGCCUGAUCCAGCCAUGCCGCGUGUGUGAAGAAGGUCUUCGGAUUGUAAAGCACUUUAAGUUGGGAGGAAGGGCAGUAAGUUAAUACCUUGCUGUUUUGACGUUACCAACAGAAUAAGCACCGGCUAACUUCGUG
Molecule: ribosomal RNA, 484 nt
Filed under: uncultured bacterium
Lineage: Bacteria
Description: partial 16S ribosomal RNA
Rfam family: Bacterial small subunit ribosomal RNA
Source: RNAcentral